RNAcentral lists this ribosomal RNA (912 nucleotides) under Penicillium catenatum. Its description in RNAcentral is "LSU rRNA". It matches the Rfam family "Eukaryotic large subunit ribosomal RNA", at positions 37 to 964 of the family's 3401-position model. Lineage: Eukaryota; Fungi; Ascomycota; Eurotiomycetes; Eurotiales; Aspergillaceae. The record is from RNAcentral.
AGCAUAUCAAUAAGCGGAGGAAAAGAAACCAACAGGGAUUGCCCCAGUAACGGCGAGUGAAGCGGCAAGAGCUCAAAUUUGAAAGCUGGCUCCUUCGGGGUCCGCAUUGUAAUUUGCAGAGGAUGCUUCGGGAGCGGUCCCCAUCUAAGUGCCCUGGAACGGGACGUCAUAGAGGGUGAGAAUCCCGUAUGGGAUGGGGUGUCCGCGCCCGUGUGAAGCUCCUUCGACGAGUCGAGUUGUUUGGGAAUGCAGCUCUAAAUGGGUGGUAAAUUUCAUCUAAAGCUAAAUAUUGGCCGGAGACCGAUAGCGCACAAGUAGAGUGAUCGAAAGAUGAAAAGCACUUUGAAAAGAGAGUUAAAAAGCACGUGAAAUUGUUGAAAGGGAAGCGCUUGCGACCAGACUCGCUCGCGGGGUUCAGCCGGCAUUCGUGCCGGUGUACUUCCCCGCGGGCGGGCCAGCGUCGGUUUGGGCGGUCGGUCAAAGGCCCUCGGAAGGUAACGCCCCCUCGGGGGCGUCUUAUAGCCGAGGGUGCAAUGCGACCUGCCUGGACCGAGGAACGCGCUUCGGCUCGGACGCUGGCAUAAUGGUCGUAAGCGACCCGUCUUGAAACACGGACCAAGGAGUCUAACAUCUACGCGAGUGUUCGGGUGUCAAACCCGUGCGCGCAGUGAAAGCGAACGGAGGUGGGAACCCUUUUGGGUGCACCAUCGACCGAUCCUGAAGUCUUCGGAUGGAUUUGAGUAAGAGCGUAGCUGUUGGGACCCGAAAGAUGGUGAACUAUGCCUGAAUAGGGCGAAGCCAGAGGAAACUCUGGUGGAGGCUCGUAGCGGUUCUGACGUGCAAAUCGAUCGUCGUAAUUUGGGUAUAGGGGCGAAAGACUAAUCGAACCAUCUGGUAGCUGGUUCCUGCCGA